RNAcentral lists this ribosomal RNA (484 nucleotides) under uncultured bacterium. RNAcentral's name for it is "partial 16S ribosomal RNA". It matches the Rfam family "Bacterial small subunit ribosomal RNA", at positions 30 to 507 of the family's 1533-position model. The record is from RNAcentral.
AUUGAACGCUGGCGGCAGGCCUAACACAUGCAAGUCGAGCGGAUGAAGGGAGCUUGCUCCUGGAUUCAGCGGCGGACGGGUGAGUAAUGCCUAGGAAUCUGCCUGGUAGUGGGGGAUAACGUCCGGAAUCGGGCGCUAAUACCGCAUACGUCCUGAGGGAGAAAGUGGGGGAUCUUCGGACCUCACGCUAUCAGAUGAGCCUAGGUCGGAUUAGCUAGUUGGUGGGGUAAAGGCCUACCAAGCCGACGAUCCGUAACUGGUCUGAGAGGAUGAUCAGUCAACCUGGAACUGAGACACGGUACAGACUACUACGGGAGGCAGCAGUGGGGAAUAUUGGACAAUGGGCGAAAGCCUGAUCCAGCCAUGCCGCGUGUGUGAAGAAGGUCUUCGGAUUGUAAAGCACUUUAAGUUGGGAGGAAGGGCAGUAAGUUAAUACCUUGCUGUUUUGACGUUACCGACAGAAUAAGCACCGGCUAACUUCGUG